This is an RNA transcript of Mus pahari (shrew mouse), 1053 nucleotides long. It is a transcript of the gene named 2-hydroxyacylsphingosine 1-beta-galactosyltransferase pseudogene, with no coding region annotated. NCBI's taxonomy places the organism in Eukaryota, Metazoa, Chordata, Mammalia, Rodentia, Muridae. The transcript has a single exon. The record is from RefSeq and is a predicted model, not a curated record.
AUGAAGUCUUACACUCCAUAUUUCAUGCUCCUGUGGAGUGCUGUUGGAAUAGCAAGGGCUGCUAAAAUCAUCAUUGUGCCGCCAAUUAUGUUUGAAAGCCAUUUGUACAUUUUCAAGACACUAACAUCGGCCUUGCACGAGAGAGGCCACCACANUGUGCUUCUCCUCUCAGAAGGCAGAGACAUUGCCCCAUCUAAUCACUACAGCNUCCAGCGAUACCCAGGGAUCUUCAACAGUACCACCUCAGAUGCUUUCCUGCAGUCUAAAAUGCGGAAUAUUUUUUCUGGGAGAUUGACAGCAGUUGAACGGGUUGACAUACUGGAUCACUAUACUAAGAAUUGUGACAUGAUGGUUGGCAACCAAGCCCUAAUCCAGGGUUUAAAAAAAGAAAAGUUUGACCUGCUCCUGGUUGACCCCAAUGAUAUGUGUGGAUUUGUGAUCACCCAUCUUUUAGGCGUUAAGUAUGCUGUAUUUUCUACAGGCCUUUGGUACCCUGCUGAAGUAGGAGCUCCUGCUCCUUUAGCUUAUGUCCCAGAGUUUAACUCGCUCCUCACAGACCGCAUGAACUUCCUGGAAAGGAUGAAAAAUACUGGUGCUUACCUCAUAUCCAGAAUAGGGGUUAGCUUUCUGGUUCUUCUGAAAUACGAGAGGAUAAUGCAGAAGUACAACCUGCUGCCUGCAAAGUCCAUGUAUGAUUUGGUUCAUGGGUCCAGCCUAUGGAUGUUAUGUACUGACGUAGCAGCACUGGAGUUUCCCAGAACCACGCUGCCUGUUGGAGGCAUCCUAACAAAGCCGGCCAGCCCACUGCCAGAAGAUCUGCAGAGGUGGGUAAAUGGUGCUCGGGAACAUGGCUUUGUCCUGGUGUCUUUUGUAGCUGGUGUCAAGUAUCUGUCAGAAGACAUUGCCAACAAACUGGCAGGAGCUUUGGGGAGAUUGCCUCAAAAAGUGAUUUGGAGAUUUGGAGAUUUGGAGACAUCAACAGGGCUCCCAGCUGCUGUAGGACAUCCACAUGAACCUUGGGCUUCAACACGGUACAGGCAAACAAUAUGUUGA